This 1196-nucleotide long non-coding RNA is filed under the name Marmota monax (woodchuck). The record is from RNAcentral. Lineage: Eukaryota; Metazoa; Chordata; Mammalia; Rodentia; Sciuridae.
AGCAAGGCCCUGGGCUCAGUCCCCAGUACCACAGGGGAUUGGGAACUCACUUGAGAUAGUUGAUGCAAAUUCUAAAGCACUGCCCUUACUAACUUUUCCUUGGUGGAAACCAGCUUUUUUUUUUUUUUUAAUGGUUCCAGAGAUUAAACCCAGGGGUACUUAACCACUGAGCCACAUCCCCAAGCCCUUUUUUGUAUUUUAUUUAGAGACAGGGUCUCACUAAAUUGCUUAGGGCCUUGCUCAGUUGCUGAUGCUGGCUUUGAACUGUGUGUGAUCCACCUGCUUUAGCCUUCUGAGCCGCUGGGAUUACAGUACUAUGCCACCACGCUCGACAGAAAUCUUCAUUCUCUUUUUUUUUAAUAUUUAUUUUUAUUUAGUUGUAGCUGGACACAAUACCUUUAUUUAUUUUUAAUGUAGUAUUGAGGAUCGAACCCAGGGCCUUGCAUGUGCUAGGCAAGCGCUCUUCUGCUGAGCCACAUCCCCAGCCCCUAAAAUCUUCAUUCUAACACAGCACUCUAGAUGAUUCUGAAAUAUUACCCAGAGGGGCCCCCCCCUUUCUAUUUUAAAAGAAUCAUGAAUAUAAAUCCAUCUGGGAAGUUCCUUAAAAUUAAACCUUUCCUACUUAAGACUUAUGGAAAUAUGCAUCUGUUGAUCAUCAAUUCCUGGACUAGAUUCUUUUUCAAUGUAAGGGCUGGUUGAAAGUGCCUUCACUAGACUGCCUGGGUAAUGAUUAAAAUUAGUGUUACAUCAACUUAAGUAGACACGAACAUAGAGAUUAAUUCUUUAAAUACCAUUUGAUUGAUGCAGAAAUAUAUUUUAAAUGUGGCUUGUUUAUUCAUAUUAAGUUAUCUUGCAUUAAAUGUAAGUCAAGUUUCUUCUGAUACCUUGCUUAUAAUUCAAAAGUAUCAGAUUGUUGGCUGUGUAACAUGACAUUUCUAUUACUCAUACUGAAUAUUUAACUAUGUGCAGGUACUUUGUCAAGUGUUUUACAUUUUAUUUCAUUUAAUCUUAUUUCCUCUUGACAGGAACUAAGACACAAGGUUGAUCAACUUGUGCAAGGUUUCACAGCUAGGGAGUGCUAAAAGUGUUACAUCUUUAGGCAUUCUGGUUUGUAUUCUUAAACAUUUAGGCUAUACUAUUUUGUGGAAGGUGUGAUGAUUACGAAUUCAUAAAAUAAUGAAAUUCUCAAAUGAUAG